This 253-nucleotide unclassified non-coding RNA is filed under the name uncultured Patescibacteria group bacterium. RNAcentral describes it as "contains 16S-23S intergenic spacer region". It matches the Rfam family "Bacterial small subunit ribosomal RNA", at positions 524 to 776 of the family's 1533-position model. The record is from RNAcentral.
UACGUAGGGUGCGAGCGUUAUCCGGAUUUACUGGGCGUAAAGCGUCCGUCGGCGGUUUUUCAAGUCUCUUGUUUAAGACCAUGGCUUAACUGUGGGAAAGCAAGGGAAACUGGAAGACUUGAGUCUGUUGGAGGAAGUUGGAAUUCUCGGUGGAGGGGUGAAAUCCGUAGAUAUCGAGAGGAACGCCAAUUGCAAAGGCAAGCUUCUAUGACAGUACUGACGCUCAGGGACGAAAGCUAGGGUAGCAAAAGGG